AGAGUUUGAUCCUGGCUCAGGAUGAACGCUAGCUACAGGCUUAACACAUGCAAGUCGAGGGGCAGCAUGAACUUAGCUUGCUAAGUUUGAUGGCGACCGGCGCACGGGUGGGUAACACGUAUCCAACCUGCCGAUGACUCGGGGAUAGCCUUUCGAAAGAAAGAUUAAUACCCGAUGGCAUAGUUCUUCCGCAUGGUAGAACUAUUAAAGAAUUUCGGUCAUCGAUGGGGAUGCGUUCCAUUAGGUUGUUGGCGGGGUAACGGCCCACCAAGCCUUCGAUGGAUAGGGGUUCUGAGAGGAAGGUCCCCCACAUUGGAACUGAGACACGGUCCAAACUCCUACGGGAGGCAGCAGUGAGGAAUAUUGGUCAAUGGACGAGAGUCUGAACCAGCCAAGUAGCGUGAAGGAUGACUGCCCUAUGGGUUGUAAACUUCUUUUAUACGGGAAUAAAGUGAGGCACGUGUGCCUUUUUGUAUGUACCGUAUGAAUAAGGAUCGGCUAACUCCGUGCCAGCAGCCGC
RNAcentral lists this ribosomal RNA (520 nucleotides) under uncultured Bacteroides sp. RNAcentral's name for it is "bacterial SSU rRNA". It matches the Rfam family "Bacterial small subunit ribosomal RNA", at positions 8 to 518 of the family's 1533-position model. Lineage: Bacteria; Pseudomonadati; Bacteroidota; Bacteroidia; Bacteroidales; Bacteroidaceae. The record is from RNAcentral.